GAUGAAGAACGUAGCAAAAUGCGAUAAGUAAUGUGAAUUGCAGAAUUCAGUGAAUCAUCGAAUCUUUGAACGCACCUUGCGCUCCCUGGUAUUCCGGGGAGCACGCCUGUUCGAGUGUCGCGAAAUUCUUCAAGCCUUGGAUGGAUUUUUUUUUGUCUGUCCUUGGGCUUGGUUGUUGGGCUCUGCCGUGUCCUUCAUUGGGACGGCUGGCCUUAAAAGCAUUAGCCGAUCCUCGUGUGGUACUGGUUCUACUCAGCGUGAUAACAAUCUGAUCGUUGAGGACAUCUUCUGGAUGGCCAGUCAUCAUUUGGGUUGCUUCUAAACCGGUUUCGCAGAUUGCUCAAUCUGUGUGCCACUUUUCAGCUUUGACCUCGAAUCAGGUGGGACUACCCGCUGAACUUAAGCAUAUCAUAAGCGGAGGA
This 422-nucleotide unclassified non-coding RNA is filed under the name soil metagenome. RNAcentral's name for it is "partial contains 5.8S ribosomal RNA, internal transcribed spacer 2, and large subunit ribosomal RNA". The stretch from base 1 to 120 matches the Rfam family "5.8S ribosomal RNA", at positions 35 to 154 of the family's 154-position model. The record is from RNAcentral.